RNAcentral lists this ribosomal RNA (527 nucleotides) under uncultured Candidatus Saccharibacteria bacterium. RNAcentral describes it as "bacterial SSU rRNA". It matches the Rfam family "Bacterial small subunit ribosomal RNA", at positions 355 to 897 of the family's 1533-position model. Lineage: Bacteria; Candidatus Saccharimonadota. The record is from RNAcentral.
UAAGGAAUCUUCCACAAUGGGCGAAAGCCUGAUGGAGCAAUGCCGCGUGCAGGAUGAAUGCCUUCGGGUUGUAAACUGCUUUUAUAUGCGAAGAAUAUGACGGUAACAUAUGAAUAAGGAUCGGCUAACUCCGUGCCAGCAGCCGCGGUCAGACGGAGGAUCCGAGCGUUAUCCGGAGUGACUGGGCGUAAAGAGUUGCGUAGGCGGUUUGUUAAGUAGAUAGUGAAAUCAAGCGGCUCAACCAUUUGGCUAUUAUCUAAACUGGCAAACUUGACAAUGAGAGAGGUAGCUGGAAUUCCUAGUGUAGGAGUGAAAUCCGUAGAUAUUAGGAGGAACACCAAUGGCGUAGGCAGGCUACUGGCUCAUUUGUGACGCUGAGGCACGAAAGCGUGGGGAGCGAACCGGAUUAGAUACCCGGGUAGUCCACGCCGUAAACGAUGGAUGCUAGCUGUAUGCCGUAUCGACCCGGUAUGUAGCGAAGCUAACGCGUUAAGCAUCCCGCCUGGGGAGUACGGUCGCAAGAUUAA